This 442-nucleotide ribosomal RNA is filed under the name uncultured bacterium. Its description in RNAcentral is "partial 16S ribosomal RNA". It matches the Rfam family "Bacterial small subunit ribosomal RNA", at positions 338 to 795 of the family's 1533-position model. The record is from RNAcentral.
CCUACGGGGAGCAGCAGUGGGGAAUAUUGGGCAAUGGACGAAAGCCUGACCCAGCAACGCCGCGUGAAGGAAGAAGGCCUUCGGGUUGUAAACUUCUUUUGACAGGGAAGAGCAGAAGAAGGUACCUGUCGAAUAAGCCACGGCCAACUACGUGCCAGCAGCCGCGGUAAUACGUAGGUGGCAAGCGUUGUCCGGAUGUACUGGGUUUAAAGGGCGUGUAGGCGGGCUGACAAGUCAGAUGUGAAAUCCGCGGGCUCAACCCCCGAACUGCAUUUGAAACUGCCAGGCUGGAGUGUAGGAGAGGUAAGUGGAAUUCCUGGUGUAGCGGUGAAAUGCGUAGAGAUUAGGAGGAACACCAGUGGCGAAGGCGGCUUACUGGACUGUAACUGACGUUGAGGCACGAAAGCGUGGGGAGCAAACAGGAUUAGAUACCCUAGUAGUC